AGCUCCUCAAUCUACGAAUCCAAAAUCAAGAUAUUUUGCUCGAUAUCUUCUACAAUAAUUACAUCUACACAUGAUCAGGAUUAAAUAUAAAAAUCAUAGAGAAUUAAGGACAGUAAAAAAAAUAAAAUUAUAGUGAAUGAUCCUAAUAUCAUAAAUCCAGUAUCUCUCCUAAGAUCGACCAAGAUUGAAAUUUAUCUAAGUAUCUAGACCCUCCAUUGGUCCAUAAGACUUUUAGAGAGAGAAAAUCUAUGAAAAGAGAGAAGAUUUUAGAGAAAAAAAGUAGAGAGAGAAAGUGAAGAGAGAAUCUUCGUAUCCUUCAGAUGAGAUAAUCAUGAUCGAGAUUAUCAAAGGUCAUAUCAAGGUGACUCAAUAUGGAU
Molecule: long non-coding RNA, 377 nt
Filed under: Elaeis guineensis (African oil palm)
Lineage: Eukaryota; Viridiplantae; Streptophyta; Magnoliopsida; Arecales; Arecaceae
Description: long non-coding RNA (EGUI_LNC024763)
Source: RNAcentral